RNA transcript from Cryptomeria japonica (Japanese cedar), 3710 nucleotides. RefSeq lists it as uncharacterized. NCBI's taxonomy places the organism in Eukaryota, Viridiplantae, Streptophyta, Pinopsida, Cupressales, Cupressaceae. The transcript has 4 exons. The record is from RefSeq and is a predicted model, not a curated record.
GAGACUAAAUAAAGAUAGAGUAUGGAUUCGAUGCUGUACAACUGUUUACAAAACUUGAGUAGUUUUGGGUGUUGUAAAUGGUUGGAUUGAUCAUGAGCAAAGUUUGUAUUUGAGCAUUCAAGUUGUAAUUUGCUCAGAUCCAUUACAUGCAUAGGGAAUACCCAAACCAUGACACAGAAUAAUGAGAAACCAGAGAUUCAUUCAAAAUACGCCAACGUGGUAAAACGAAAGACUAACCUUUUUAUUAGUUCCUGUUAGUUCCUGCCCCAGCAUGGAACUAUAGCGGAGGGGCUCGUCCUAAACAGUUAUUAAACUAAUGUUGAUUGGAUGAUACAGAGGCAGUUGUGGUUAUCAAUAUGAGAGAAGGCGCAACUUCCGAGGACAGGACUGGGUUUGCAAAACAUCAGCUCUCCAAAACCCCCAGAGAUCACCGCAGGUUACAGGUGACAAAUGAGUGGGGCGAACAGUUGGCUCUUAGGGAUUUAAUUCAUUUGCAUGUUGCUGAAAGGUGGAGGAUGCUGGUUAACUAGAGUGCAUAGAUUCGAGUGACAAUGGAGAUAAGCCAGUCACCAGAACGACUUCUAAUUCUGCCACGACCACUAUUAACAGACAUGCUAUAGAAAGCAGUCAUGUUCGCAAUUUUGGUCUGGACAAAGAAGAGGGCCAAGACGAUCAGCAUGUCAGUGUAACUGAAAGUGUUGUAGAGCUUUGUGAUGUUGAGAGUAAUAUAGCUGGAGGACGGAACAGUGCUCACCCGCUCCUGCACAGGCCUGUUCACCAUGUUAUGCUUAAGUUCAGUUCUUCUAUUCUACCCUACUAUUUAGAUUGUUAGUAUUUUUGUUUCAUGUUAAAUAGAUAUGAAAAAGUGCGUCCAUUUCAGUUGUCAGAUUGAGAAAAUAAAUAUUUAUAGUUUCUCCAUUUUAGAAGGAAGCUGAAAGGUCUCUUGCCUUGGAUGUGAAAUAGACUAAGAACAAAAAGCUUGCCCCUCUAAAACAAGCAACAUUAUUUGGAGCAACAAUGCAAGUAGAAGUGUAGCAAUGAACAUUCCAAGCACAACAUUUAACAGUGAUAGUAGACUCACAACCUGAACCAGGAUUUGAUAAGAAAUCUACAAUCAUCCGUCUUGACAAAUCUAAUAGAUGCAAUGGACCACUUUCAAUAUGUUUCGCAAAGUCUAUUUCUUCUGAUUUGUUUGAGAACAGAUAACGUUUAAAAUAUAUCCAGUCACACAAAGGUUUGGAUAAGCAAUCUUGUACUAAUCCAGAGUCUUUCCAUUCCAAUUGUAGGAUCAUUUUCAGAAUAUAGAAAGGAAUCUCAUUUUCCAACUUCCAAAUGUCAAGUAGAAUCUCUCGUCUUUUGAUUUUAUGUCUCUGAAGCCGGAAAAUAAGGCUAGAAUCGGGUAAGUCCAUUCAAUUCGAGAAUAAAGCAUGCAUACAUGACCAUCAUUCACGCAAGCAUAUCUUCAUUCCAUUCAACGGCUGAAUCUUCAUAGCAAACUCUGAUUUUCGUAUCUAGCUCUUUGACUUUUGCGACUAAACUGUCUAUGGUCAUGUGAGGGAUCCUUUCCAAGGUUUUCUUUACUACAUGGAGCUUAUAUUUGUCUGUUGUAGUCAGCUGCUAGUGUUUCUUGUGAUGAUAAUGUCUAAGAAAUACAACCAGAGGAUCAUAUGCUCCUCGUUUUGUUUUCUUUAUGGGUUCAGGCACCCAAUAUAUGGACACACAAGUAGACAUUUUUAGCUCUCUGUACUGUGAGUUUCGAUCAUUAUAUGCAUCUUUAACUUGAUCAAUCCAUGUUUUAGGUUCAAUGUUCGGAGGCCAUAUGAUAGUUCCUGGAUAUCAAACGAUGGGAUCAACUUCACUUAUCCAAGAAAACAUGUAACUGAACAAAUAAUCAGAGAUUUAACUAUAAAAGACAAUGAAGAAUAGUUUAACUAGACAAAUUAAAAAUAAGUAACAUAUGUUUUAUGAAUUAAAAAGUGAAUAUUAGAGAAACUGUAUAUAAUUUAAAUUUAAAAUUAGGAAAAUGUAAAUUAUCUAUAUAAUUGAAACUUGUGCAUAUAAAAAUUUAAAAUAACUGACCAGAAAUAUAAUUAAUCUAUUAAAAAAUUACCAACUAUAAAUUAUUCAUUUAAUUGAAAUCUAUACAGAUGCAUCAUCUUUACUCCAAGAAAGUCAAUCUUUGGAGGAUAUCCACUCCAAAUACUUUCGUUAAUUACAAGUAAAGAGUAAAGAUGAGAAAUCCAUUGGAAUUCUACAAUCCACAAUAUUUGCUUCUAUAUUUGAUCGAAGACUACAAGACAACUAUCAAAAUAUUUUUGAAUUUGAUUAUUUAAACUUUUUCCUUUACAAUCACUUACAAUUACUGUUUUCCUUUCUUAGUUAUCCAACAUCAAGAUAAGUUAUUGAAGAUCAUUAGAUUAUAAGGCCUUCAAGUUUUCCCUACUCAUUCUUGUUCCAAUACCAAUAUAUCCUCAUUUAUUUGGCCAAUCUAAUGCCAAUGUCAAAGUCGAUGAGAACCAUCUCAAUAUGGACCUACCACUCAGCUAAAAGUUGGAAAACUAGCAUAUAUAAUUUCACAAUUCUACAAUAAACAUUUCACUCCAACAACUCUAUUUAUAACUUUGUCCAUAAACAAAUUACACAAAAUUCUUGCAGUUUUGGCAGGAACUUAGCUGCCGUGCAGCCCUUGUUGUAUGUUGUAUAGGUUUCUGUAUCUUGUCUAUUUUUUUGAAUAGAGUUGAACCAGUUUUUGCUACAACACUAAUUUUUCUUAUGAGUUUUAUAUGGUUGUAAUUAUUUUGCUUGGUCUCAUAGAUUAGAGUUGGGUCAAUUUAUAUUAACAGUUGGUAUGUGUUGGACCAAUGAAAAACACAGCUUGUAUAUUAACUCCAUGGAGGAGGCCUUUGUCUCAAGCCUUUAUCAGCAUGGCAAUUAUACACAUCCCUGUAAAAGAUGGCAAGCAGAUAGAGGAGAAAUAGCCUCUGUGUUUAGCCUGGAUUUAAAUGAGGAAGUUGAAUCUGGUUUUUCCAAUGGUCAUGUACUGUUUGGAUUUCCUGAGGAGAGCCAGAGUGAAUGUGAAACAGAAAAGCCCAGCCUCUAUCAUGAUGUUCAAAACAAUUCAAACAAGUGUGGAUUGAAGGAGAUAUGCAGCAGUAACAACACGUUUCAGGAAAAAGGCAGAAAUGGUUGAUUCUUUCCCCUUGAACAGAUGAUUUUGUUGAGAUAUUGGUGGAUCUCAGUUAACUUUUUUCAUGGGGAGAAGAAAGAAGAGGAAGUCACAACAUGGAGAGAGGGAAAUAACAGACGUGUUCGAAGAAGUGCAGUCUAAAUAUAAUGAUGAACAUGCAAGAAAUUUCUAUGCAGGGCGAAAUCGGUUGACAGAAGAUACAACUGUUUCAGAAACUUCAGUGAAAACCUUGAGUGACAACCAAGAGGAUCAGGUGAUUCCAUUCAUGGAUUAGACAUCUCCCAAGGAAGAUGGGAAGUCAGAUAACACCUUCAGUUUUAAACUACAUAUUAAGCAACCUAUUAAGUCUAGAGAAUGUCAGUCAAUUUUGAGCAACAUAUUAAGUCUAGAGAAUGUCAGUCAAUUUUGAGUGAGUGUUAGUAUUUUUAAGCUUAAAAAUCAAAGCUUAGUGUGUGAGAUUUAAACCAUGAUUUCUAUUGUAAUUGACAAGUUGGAAAUAUUUUUAAUUAACUAAUUGAAUGAG